CCUACGGGUGGCAGCAGUGAGGAAUAUUGGUCAAUGGGCGCGAGCCUGAACCAGCCAAGUCGCGUGAGGGAAGACGGUCCUAUGGAUUGUAAACCUCUUUUGUCGGGGAGCAAACGACGCCACGCGUGGCGUUCCGAGAGUACCCUAAGAACAAGCAUCGGCUAACUCCGUGCCAGCAGCCGCGGUAAUACGGAGGAUGCGAGCGUUAUCCGGAUUUAUUGGGUUUAAAGGGUGCGCAGGCGGAAGAUCAAGUCAGCGGUAAAAUUGAGAGGCUCAACCUCUUCGAGCCGUUGAAACUGGUGUUCUUGAGUGAGCGAGAAGUAUGCGGAAUGCGUGGUGCAGCGGUGAAAUGCAUAGAUAUCACGCAGAACUCCGAUUGCGAAGGCAGCAUACCGGCGCUCAACUGACGCUCAUGCACGAAAGUGUGGGUAUCGAACAGGAUUAGAUACCCUUGUAGUC
RNAcentral lists this ribosomal RNA (459 nucleotides) under uncultured bacterium. Its description in RNAcentral is "partial 16S ribosomal RNA". It matches the Rfam family "Bacterial small subunit ribosomal RNA", at positions 338 to 795 of the family's 1533-position model. The record is from RNAcentral.